Molecule: small nucleolar RNA, 94 nt
Organism: Callithrix jacchus (white-tufted-ear marmoset)
Lineage: Eukaryota; Metazoa; Chordata; Mammalia; Primates; Cebidae
Source: Ensembl
AUUCUUCUGUUCGUAAGCGUGAUGAUUGGGUGUUCACAUGUAUGAGAUGUGUCACCCUCCAACCUUUUUGUGCCAUUUUUCUGCCUACCUUAUU